Molecule: ribosomal RNA, 253 nt
Filed under: uncultured bacterium
Lineage: Bacteria
Description: partial 16S ribosomal RNA
Rfam family: Bacterial small subunit ribosomal RNA
Source: RNAcentral
GACGUAGGGGGCGAGCGUUGUCCGGAUUUAUUGGGCGUAAAGAGCGCGUAGGCGGCCCGGAAAGUCGGAUGUGAAAACCCGGGGCUCAACCCCGGGCCUGCAUCCGAUACUCCCGGGCUGGAGGCAGGUAGGGGAGAUCGGAAUUCCUGGUGUAGCGGUGAAAUGCGCAGAUAUCAGGAGGAACACCGGUGGCGAAGGCGGAUCUCUGGGCCUGUCCUGACGCUGAGGCGCGAAAGCUAGGGGAGCAAACAGG